This 1628-nucleotide ribosomal RNA is filed under the name Campylobacter coli. RNAcentral's name for it is "partial 23S ribosomal RNA". It matches the Rfam family "Bacterial large subunit ribosomal RNA", at positions 1315 to 2925 of the family's 2925-position model. Lineage: Bacteria; Pseudomonadati; Campylobacterota; Epsilonproteobacteria; Campylobacterales; Campylobacteraceae. The record is from RNAcentral.
AUUAAUGUGAGAAUCAUUAACGCCGUAAACCCAAGGUUUCCUACGCGAUGCUCGUCAUCGUAGGGUUAGUCGGGUCCUAAGCCGAGUCCGAAAGGGGUAGGCGAUGGCAAAUUGGUUAAUAUUCCAAUACCAACAUUAGUGUGCGAUGGAAGGACGCUUAGGGCUAAGGGGGCUAGCGGAUGGAAGUGCUAGUCUAAGGUCGUAGGAGGUUAUACAGGCAAAUCCGUAUAACAAUACUCCGAGAACUGAAAGGCUUUUUGAAGUCUUCGGAUGGAUAGAAGAACCCCUGAUGCCGUCGAGCCAAGAAAAGUUUCUAAGUUUAGCUAAUGUUGCCCGUACCGUAAACCGACACAGGUGGGUGGGAUGAGUAUUCUAAGGCGCGUGGAAGAACUCUCUUUAAGGAACUCUGCAAAAUAGCACCGUAUCUUCGGUAUAAGGUGUGGUUCGCUUCGUACUAGGAUUUACUCCGAAAGCGAAGAAACUUACAACAAAGAGUCCCUCCCGACUGUUUACCAAAAACACAGCACUCUGCUAACUCGUAAGAGGAUGUAUAGGGUGUGACGCCUGCCCGGUGCUCGAAGGUUAAUUGAUGGGGUUAGCAUUAGCGAAGCUCUUGAUCGAAGCCCGAGUAAACGGCGGCCGUAACUAUAACGGUCCUAAGGUAGCGAAAUUCCUUGUCGGUUAAAUACCGACCUGCAUGAAUGGCGUAACGAGAUGGGAGCUGUCUCAAAGAGGGAUCCAGUGAAAUUGUAGUGGAGGUGAAAAUUCCUCCUACCCGCGGCAAGACGGAAAGACCCCGUGGACCUUUACUACAGCUUGACACUGCUACUUGGAUAAGAAUGUGCAGGAUAGGUGGGAGGCUUUGAGUAUAUGACGCCAGUUGUAUAUGAGCCAUUGUUGAGAUACCACUCUUUCUUAUUUGGGUAGCUAACCAGCUUGAGUUAUCCUCAAGUGGGACAAUGUCUGGUGGGUAGUUUGACUGGGGCGGUCGCCUCCCAAAUAAUAACGGAGGCUUACAAAGGUUGGCUCAGAACGGUUGGAAAUCGUUCGUAGAGUAUAAAGGUAUAAGCCAGCUUAACUGCAAGACAUACAAGUCAAGCAGAGACGAAAGUCGGUCUUAGUGAUCCGGUGGUUCUGUGUGGAAGGGCCAUCGCUCAAAGGAUAAAAGGUACCCCGGGGAUAACAGGCUGAUCUCCCCCAAGAGCUCACAUCGACGGGGAGGUUUGGCACCUCGAUGUCGGCUCAUCGCAUCCUGGGGCCGGAGCAGGUCCCAAGGGUAUGGCUGUUCGCCAUUUAAAGCGGUACGCGAGCUGGGUUCAGAACGUCGUGAGACAGUUCGGUCCCUAUCUGCCGUGGGCGUAAGAAGAUUGAAGAGAUUUGACCCUAGUACGAGAGGACCGGGUUGAACAAACCACUGGUGUAGCUGUUGUUCUGCCAAGAGCAUCGCAGCGUAGCUAAGUUUGGAAAGGAUAAACGCUGAAAGCAUCUAAGCGUGAAGCCAACUCUAAGAUGAAUCUUCUCUAAGCUCUCUAGAAGACUACUAGUUUGAUAGGCUGGGUGUGUAAUGGAUGAAAGUCCUUUAGCUGACCAGUACUAAUAGAGCGUUUGGCUUAUCUUUAAUAAAGCAU